RNAcentral lists this ribosomal RNA (319 nucleotides) under uncultured eukaryote. Its description in RNAcentral is "partial 18S ribosomal RNA". It matches the Rfam family "Eukaryotic small subunit ribosomal RNA", at positions 1470 to 1796 of the family's 1831-position model. The record is from RNAcentral.
CCCUUAGAUGUUCUGGGCAGCACGCGCACUACAAUGGUCUUCGCAAACGGAUGCAUUCUCGAAGGAGAAUGCCAAUCUUGGAAUCUAUGCCUUGGUCGGGACAGUUGCUUGCAAUUUUUCGACUCGGACCAGGAAUUCCUUGUAAUCGUGAUUCAUCACAUCACGAUGAAUACGUCCCUGCCCUUUGUACACACCGCCCGUCGCUCCUACCGAUCGAAGAGUUAGGUGAAUUGUUUUGAUCGAUAAGAUUUGACUAUGGUCAACUCUCGUUGUGAAAUUCUGUGAAUCUGACUGUUUAGAGGAAGGAAAAGUCGUAACA